RNAcentral lists this ribosomal RNA (429 nucleotides) under Gemmatimonadota bacterium. Its description in RNAcentral is "Gemmatimonadetes bacterium partial 16S ribosomal RNA". It matches the Rfam family "Bacterial small subunit ribosomal RNA", at positions 355 to 776 of the family's 1533-position model. Lineage: Bacteria; Pseudomonadati; Gemmatimonadota. The record is from RNAcentral.
UAGGGAAUCUUCGGCAAUGGACGAAAGUCUGACCGAGCAACGCCGCGUGAGUGAAGAAGGUUUUAGGAUCGUAAAACUCUGUUGUUAGAGAAGAACAAGGACGUUAGUAACUGAACGUCCCCUGACGGUAUCUAACCAGAAAGCCACGGCUAACUACGUGCCAGCAGCCGCGGUAAUACGUAGGUGGCAAGCGUUGUCCGGAUUUAUUGGGCGUAAAGCGAGCGCAGGCGGUUUCUUAAGUCUGAUGUGAAAGCCCCCGGCUCAACCGGGGAGGGUCAUUGGAAACUGGGAGACUUGAGUGCAGAAGAGGAGAGUGGAAUUCCAUGUGUAGCGGUGAAAUGCGUAGAUAUAUGGAGGAACACCAGUGGCGAAGGCGGCUCUCUGGUCUGUAACUGACGCUGAGGCUGGAAAGCGUGGGGAGCAAACAGG